This is a long non-coding RNA of Passer domesticus (house sparrow), 361 nucleotides long. RefSeq lists it as uncharacterized. Lineage: Eukaryota; Metazoa; Chordata; Aves; Passeriformes; Passeridae. The record is from RefSeq and is a predicted model, not a curated record. The transcript has 2 exons.
UGGAUACUGAUAUGGCCAUAUUCAGGAUGUACAAACAGCAACAAGAUCCCUCAAAUGGCUUCCUAGACACACAGGAGAACCAAGAGAAAUGAAGAUCCCUACGAGCUAUGGGUGAUCUCCAUCUAUGAUUCCCAGAUGGUGCAGCUCAGCAGUGCUGUUACCUCCUAUGGAUUGAAACUUGGCUUUUUGCUCAGCACAGAACAAGAAAAGAAAGAGGACUGUAAAUGAUCCACACGCAUUUCUUCAUCUGACCACCGAGGCUGCUGGUUGGAAAUAGGACUCUGAACACUUGCUUUGGCUUAGGAGAACGACAUUUUUUCCAGUUGCCACAUCCUAUUAAACAAUUGUCUUUAUUUUCCAA